AUUGAACGCUGGCGGCAUGCCUUACACAUGCAAGUCGAACGGCAGCACGGGAGCAAUCCUGGUGGCGAGUGGCGAACGGGUGAGUAAUAUAUCGGAACGUGCCCAGUCGUGGGGGAUAACGUAGCGAAAGCUACGCUAAUACCGCAUACGAUCUAUGGAUGAAAGCGGGGGAUCGCAAGACCUCGCGCGAUUGGAGCGGCCGAUAUCAGAUUAGCUAGUUGGUGGGGUAAAGGCCCACCAAGGCGACGAUCUGUAGCUGGUCUGAGAGGACGACCAGCCACACUGGGACUGAGACACGGCCCAGGCUCCUACGGGAGGCAGCAGUGGGGAAUUUUGGACAAUGGGCGCAAGCCUGAUCCAGCAAUGCCGCGUGCAGGACGAAGGCCUUCGGGUUGUAAACUGCUUUUGUACGGAACGAAACGGCCCCUUCUAAUACAGGGGGCUAAUGACGGUACCGUAAGAAUAAGCACCGGCUAACUACGUGCCAGCAGCCGCGGUAA
This 500-nucleotide ribosomal RNA is filed under the name uncultured bacterium. RNAcentral's name for it is "partial 16S ribosomal RNA". It matches the Rfam family "Bacterial small subunit ribosomal RNA", at positions 29 to 523 of the family's 1533-position model. The record is from RNAcentral.